This 551-nucleotide long non-coding RNA is filed under the name Selaginella moellendorffii. RNAcentral's name for it is "long non-coding RNA (SMOE_LNC000470)". Lineage: Eukaryota; Viridiplantae; Streptophyta; Lycopodiopsida; Selaginellales; Selaginellaceae. The record is from RNAcentral.
UUUUUAGGGUUCUUCGCUCACGCUGGAUGUCCUUCGCGGCUGACUGGUGGAUUUGUGAUCAGCGCAGCUCGAUAUCAGCCGCAUUCUAAGAUUUCUCUCCGUUACUAGUUCUAGCUAGCGAAAUCCUUGUGACUGGUGGAUUUGCGAUCGGUCGGCAGGGAAUUCUAACAUUUCUCUCCAUUUCUAGAUCUAUCUAGCGUUUUCAACAAAAUCCUGGGAGCUCUGGAAUUGGCAUUUCCGGUAAGAAAUUUGUAAGUUCUCACGCUUCCAGACGGCAGCACACUCCUUGCUCUGGUUAGACAAGCAUCCUUUUUCUUCAUUAUUUCCAAAAAGUAGUUCGUUCCAUCCGGCAUGUACAGUGAUUGAUCAACACUUCCCGUAAGUUCUCCUCUCUCUCUUUUUUUUUUUCCUUUUUCCCUGUCGUCGACCCCUAAACUCUCUUGAAUAUCUUACACGAUGAAGAUCGCAGUGAAGAAGAUCAUGGCUGUCCAGCGCAAGAGAGAGUCGCGGGGUUCCAUAUCCAUGGCACCAAGAACUUCCGCCGGUUCACG